RNAcentral lists this transfer RNA (87 nucleotides) under Candidatus Babelota bacterium. RNAcentral's name for it is "Candidatus Dependentiae bacterium tRNA-Leu". It matches the Rfam family "tRNA". Rfam says of the family: Transfer RNA (tRNA) molecules are approximately 80 nucleotides in length. Their secondary structure includes four short double-helical elements and three loops (D, anti-codon, and T loops). Further hydrogen bonds mediate the characteristic L-shaped molecular structure. tRNAs have two regions of fundamental functional importance: the anti-codon, which is responsible for specific mRNA codon recognition, and the 3' end, to which the tRNAs corresponding amino acid is attached (by aminoacyl-tRNA synthetases). tRNAs cope with the degeneracy of the genetic code in two manners: having more than one tRNA (with a specific anti-codon) for a particular amino acid; and 'wobble' base-pairing, i.e. permitting non-standard base-pairing at the 3rd anti-codon position. The record is from RNAcentral.
GCCGAAGUGGUGAAAUUGGCAGACACACAGCCUUGAGGGGGCUGCGGGAGUAAUCCUGUAGGGGUUCAAAUCCCCUCUUCGGCACCA